AAGUCGUAACAAGGUUUCCGUAGGUGAACCUGCGGAAGGAUCAUUACCGAGAUAGGGUUUUUCGGGGCCCGACCUCCAACCCUUUAUCUAUCUACCUCUGUUGCCUCGGCGGGACGCCGGCGCUUAGGCGCCGCCGUCGGCCUUCGGGCUCUCGAGCGCCCGCCGAAGGGCCAUUUCAAACUCUUAACAAAGCAAACUGAGUGAAUUAUUCAAUAUUUUAAAA
This 223-nucleotide unclassified non-coding RNA is filed under the name plant metagenome. Its description in RNAcentral is "partial contains small subunit ribosomal RNA and internal transcribed spacer 1". The stretch from base 1 to 46 matches the Rfam family "Eukaryotic small subunit ribosomal RNA", at positions 1786 to 1831 of the family's 1831-position model. The record is from RNAcentral.